UACGUAGGGGGCAAGCGUUGUCCGGAAUCAUUGGGCGUAAAGAGCGUGUAGGCGGCCCGAUAAGUCCGCUGUGAAAGUCCAGGGCUCAACCCUGGGAUGCCGGUGGAUACUGUCGGGCUAGAGUGCGGAAGAGGCGAGCGGAAUUCCUGGUGUAGCGGUGAAAUGCGCAGAUAUCAGGAGGAACACCUAUUGCGAAGGCAGCUCGCUGGGACGUCACUGACGCUGAGACGCGAAAGCGUGGGGAGCAAACAGG
Molecule: ribosomal RNA, 253 nt
Filed under: uncultured bacterium
Lineage: Bacteria
Description: partial 16S ribosomal RNA
Rfam family: Bacterial small subunit ribosomal RNA
Source: RNAcentral